UGGUAACUGGGCACUCCCGAGGGCCCUGUAUGAAGAAGAAAAAGCAUUUGUGAAGGAGCUGAAGAGAUGCCCCAAACACUUCUCCUUGCAACAGUGCCUACCUUUGUGACUGGAUUCUGCACGCAGCCCUGAGCCCCUCCAGAACACAAACUGGGCUUUGGAAUGAGUCAGGACAUGUGUGCUGUGUGACUGCUCGGUGCCGGGCUCUGUUCUCAACGCCGAGUGCCCAGCCCUGAGCAGGAUGAGUAACGGGCUCUGCUCUCACGCGGGUUCGUCCCAGUGGAGGAGACAGCAGCGAAAUGAACACGCGGAGUGGUAGCGAUUCCUAAGAGCAACAGGCGACUGACGACGGUCAGGAGGCGGCAUGGUGCAGUCUCGUUUUCAGCAGACUAGAAAGCAGACGGCGCUGCGCAGAGACUCAGGGCUGUGGGGAAGGAAGCCGUAUCUCUGCCCAUUCCUCCACCUUGAGCCAUGUUGACUUUAUCUCCCUUGAAUACACCGAGCACCUGCUGGCCUACCUUCAUGAAGUUCCCUACUACUGUGCUGUUACCCAAUCUCCUCUACAGACAUCACCUCACCGAAUGUGCACGUUUUGGCUUCAUUGAUUGAGAAAACUGAGGCUUUUGACACAUUGUUGCCAGCUGGAAGGCUCCUGGGCCCAACUAAAAUCUCGGGUGGACUGCUGGCUCCAGGUCAUGUGACUCUCUGGGCAUUUCCUCCCGGGAGAGUGGUCAGAUUAUCCUGAAAAGUCAAUGUAAGACUUCUGGAGAGAAAAAUGGAAGCAUGAACAACAGUUCGGGCAACUGUAUUGAAAUGGUUUAGAGGGACCUCACGGCAUGGUCAGGACACUGAGACUAGCUGGCCUGUAGGGUUUGGAGUGAUAACUUAGGCAAGAGAGAGACCCUGAGUGUCAUAUCAAAGAGCUAGACUUUCUCUCAUUUACAGCAAAGAAUUAUUGAAAGGUUUUAGGCAAACAAACCAAAAUACUGCGUAGACCGAACAAGUAGAGUGUCUAGAAAUGAUUAGAACUGCGGCUCCUCGGUGAGCAGGCUUUCUCCCUAGUAGAAGAUCCCACCUGUGCUGAGGGCCAUAUAAGACGUACAGGCCCAGUUCUGCCGCUGGGGAAUCUUGGUUUUAUGUAAAAUCCACCUAUUUUUUAUGUAAUUGCAACAGAUUUUUAAUGGCAUGAGCCACAAAGGGCUCCACGCUGGGGCCUCGGUCCUGGAGUGUGAAUGAGCUUCAAGAGAACAGGGCUUUGUCCAUGUUUGCCACCACGUUCUCGGGGCCUGGCACACAGUAGAUGUGCAAUAUACAUGUGUUACAUGCGUGUGUUAAUAGCAUUUCCAUUUUACUUCUGAGGAAACAAAGUCAUAGCAGACAACCCACAAGGUUACAAGGAAAGUGGCCCUGGUCGGGCUCGAGUCCAAACUUUUGAACUUCAAAAUAUUUGUAGGUAAGUUGACGUAUGCCAGGCAC
Molecule: long non-coding RNA, 1476 nt
Organism: Heterocephalus glaber (naked mole-rat)
Lineage: Eukaryota; Metazoa; Chordata; Mammalia; Rodentia; Bathyergidae
Source: Ensembl